UACAGAGGUCUCAACCGUUGUUCGGAUUCAUUGGGCGUAAAGGGUGCGUAGGCGGUCGCGCAAGUCGGAUGUGAAAUCUCAGGGCUCAACCCUGAAACUGCAUUCGAUACUGCGUGGCUAGAGUGCUGGAGGGGAGACUGGAAUUUACGGUGUAGCAGUGAAAUGCGUAGAUAUCGUAAGGAAGACCAGUGGCGAAGGCGAGUCUCUGGACAGCAACUGACGCUGAGGCACGAAGGCCAGGGGAGCAAACGGG
This 253-nucleotide non-coding RNA is filed under the name uncultured bacterium. Its description in RNAcentral is "partial 16S ribosomal RNA". It matches the Rfam family "Bacterial small subunit ribosomal RNA", at positions 524 to 776 of the family's 1533-position model. The record is from RNAcentral. RNAcentral also lists the same sequence under 2 other names.